CCUACGGGCGGCAGCAGUGAGGAAUAUUGGUCAAUGGCCGGAAGGCUGAACCAGCCAAGCCGCGUGAAGGACGAAGGUCCUAAGCGUUGUAAACCUCUUUUGUCCGGGGACAAAAGCAGGCUCGAGAGCAUGACCGCGGGUACUUCAUGAAUAAGCACCGGCUAAAUCCGUGCCAGCAGCCGCGGUAAUACGGAGGGUGCGGGCGGUAUCCGGAUUUAUUUGGUGUAAAGGGGGCGUAGGCGGGUUUUUAAGUUUGCCGUUAAAGUCCGGGGCUCAACCCGGGGAGGGCGGGGGAAACAGGCUGUCUUUAGAGGGCGAGGGGCAUGCGGAAUGCGUGGUGUAGCGGUGAAAUGCUUAGAUAUCGCGAAGAACCCCGAUUGCGAAGGCAGCCUGCCGGAGGGGAACUGACGCUGAGGCACGAAAGCGUGGGUAUCGAACAGGAUUAGAUACCCGAGUAGUC
RNAcentral lists this ribosomal RNA (460 nucleotides) under uncultured bacterium. RNAcentral describes it as "partial 16S ribosomal RNA". It matches the Rfam family "Bacterial small subunit ribosomal RNA", at positions 338 to 795 of the family's 1533-position model. The record is from RNAcentral.